UACAGAGGGUGCAAGCGUUAAUCGGAAUAAUUGGGCGUAAAGGGUGCGUAGGUGGUUACUUAAGUCUUAUGUGAAAGUCAAUGGCUCAACCAUUGAAAGCCAUAAGAAACUGGAUAACUAGAGUACUGUAGAGGGUAGUGGAAUUUCUGGUGUAGCGGUGAAAUGCGUAGAUAUCAGAAGGAACAUCAGUGGCGAAGGCGACUACCUGGACAGAUACUGACACUGAGGCACGAAAGCGUGGGUAGCGAACAGG
Molecule: unclassified non-coding RNA, 253 nt
Filed under: uncultured Gammaproteobacteria bacterium
Lineage: Bacteria; Pseudomonadati; Pseudomonadota; Gammaproteobacteria
Description: contains 16S-23S intergenic spacer region
Rfam family: Bacterial small subunit ribosomal RNA
Source: RNAcentral